UAACUGAAGAGUUUGAUCAUGGCUCAGAUUGAACGCUGGCGGCAGGCCUAACACAUGCAAGUCGAGCGGAAACGAUCCUAGCUUGCUAGGAGGCGUCGAGCGGCGGACGGGUGAGUAACACGUGAGAAUCUGCCCAUUAGAGGGGGAUAACCUGGGGAAACCCAGGCUAAUACCGCAUAAUCCCUA
This 186-nucleotide ribosomal RNA is filed under the name Flagellimonas olearia. RNAcentral's name for it is "Muricauda olearia partial 16S ribosomal RNA". It matches the Rfam family "Bacterial small subunit ribosomal RNA", at positions 1 to 182 of the family's 1533-position model. Lineage: Bacteria; Pseudomonadati; Bacteroidota; Flavobacteriia; Flavobacteriales; Flavobacteriaceae. The record is from RNAcentral.